This 253-nucleotide ribosomal RNA is filed under the name uncultured bacterium. RNAcentral describes it as "partial 16S ribosomal RNA". It matches the Rfam family "Bacterial small subunit ribosomal RNA", at positions 524 to 776 of the family's 1533-position model. The record is from RNAcentral.
UACAGGGGGUGCAAACGUUGCUCGGAAUUACUGGGCGUAAAGCGCACGUAGGCGGCUUUCUAAGUCGGGGGUGAAAUCCUGGAGCUCAACUCCAGAACUGCCUUCGAUACUGGGGAGCUCGAGUCCGGGAGAGGUGAGUGGAACUGCGAGUGUAGAGGUGAAAUUCGUAGAUAUUCGCAAGAACACCAGUGGCGAAGGCGGCUCACUGGCCCGGUACUGACGCUGAGGUGCGAAAGCGUGGGGAGCAAACAGG